CCUACGGGAGGCAGCAGUGAGGAAUAUUGGUCAAUGGCCGGAAGGCUGAACCAGCCAUGCCGCGUGAAGGUCAGUGCCCUAUGGGCGUUAAACUUCUUUUGUGCGGGAGCAAUAAUGGUCACGUGUGGCCAGACGAGAGUACCGUACGAAUAAGCAUCGGCUAACUCCGUGCCAGCAGCCGCGGUAAUACGGGGGAUGCAAGCGUUAUCCGGAUUUAUUGGGUUUAAAGGGUGCGUACGCUGUGAGGUAAGUCAGCGGUGAAAUGCCCCCGCUCAACGGGGUGAAGUGCCAUUGAUACUGCCUGGCUGGAAUGCGGAUGCCGUGGGAGGAAUGUGUGGUGUAGCGGUGAAAUGCAUAGAUAUCACACAGAACACCGAUUGCGAAGGCAUCUCACGAAUCCGCGAUUGACGCUGAUGCACGAAAGCGUGGGUAUCAAACAGGAUUAGAUACCCGAGUAGUC
RNAcentral lists this ribosomal RNA (460 nucleotides) under uncultured bacterium. RNAcentral describes it as "partial 16S ribosomal RNA". It matches the Rfam family "Bacterial small subunit ribosomal RNA", at positions 338 to 795 of the family's 1533-position model. The record is from RNAcentral.